Non-coding RNA from Pelobates cultripes (western spadefoot toad), 182 nucleotides. NCBI's taxonomy places the organism in Eukaryota, Metazoa, Chordata, Amphibia, Anura, Pelobatidae. The record is from the annotation of a GenBank genome assembly.
GCAGACACAUUCCAGCCAAUCAGCAGCAGACCCUCCCUCCCAAACCCUCCCUCCCAGACCCUCCCACCUCCUGGACAGCAUCCAUUUUACAUUCAUUGUGAAGCUGCAUUCUUAGUGAGCUGUCCAGGAGGUGGGAGGGUCUGGGAGGGAGGGUCUGCUUCUGAUUGGCUGGAAUGUGUCUG